UCUAACGCAGUGCAGCGAGCGUGUGGAUACCGGGGGGGGCAAGCGUGGACAUGAAUUACUGGCGGUAAAGGGUGCGAAGGCUGGUCUGCAAGUUGGGAUUGAAUGCUCUGGGCUUAACGCAGAGGCGGCUUUAAAAACGGCCGUGUUCGAGUGCGAGAGACGUCAGGGGAAUUGCAGGUGUAGCGUUGAAAGGCGUAGAUAUCUGCAGGAACACCCGGGGCGAAGGCGGCUGACUGGAUCGCAACUGACGCUGAGGAACGAAAGCUAGGGGAGCAAACAGGAUUAGAUACCCUAGUAGUC
This 300-nucleotide ribosomal RNA is filed under the name uncultured Nocardiopsis sp. RNAcentral's name for it is "bacterial SSU rRNA". It matches the Rfam family "Bacterial small subunit ribosomal RNA", at positions 496 to 795 of the family's 1533-position model. Lineage: Bacteria; Bacillati; Actinomycetota; Actinomycetes; Streptosporangiales; Nocardiopsidaceae. The record is from RNAcentral.